UGACUUCAUGUUCCUGAGCGAGGAGAUCGGCACGCCAGAUGCGCCGAGUGCCUGACCCCUUUUAAAGGCUCUGUAAGGUCACACGAAACUUUAAAAAUGUCGUUUCAGGCGUGCGGAGGGAAGGAAGAGAGCCCAAAAAGCUUUAGGAAGCUGUGUUUCGUUUUCGGAUGAAGAGCGAGCCUCGCAGGGUAGCUGACAAGUUUGCAGUCCUUGCUCUGAGUCAGGCAUUGAAUUUUACUCAGUUGUUUUAUCUGGAGACAAAAGCAACAAACACCCCUUGCAGUAGAGCCACCCAGAGCUACCAGGUCAUAUGAGGAACAUCUCUGUUGAGCAUCUCCAGUGUCGACGACAACUCUUGCUCAGCACCUUCUGGACAUGGAAGUGAAGAGCUGUUUUGGACAGGAGCUGGUUCAAGCCUGUGGAUUCUGGGGUGUUUCUUCAUCCAUCUCUUUCCACCAUCAGUGCAGGAGGUACCCUCUUUACAAACGCUGGUUUUCCCAAAUCCUGGCAAGGAUUUAGUAAGGAUCAGAAACGAGGCUAAUAAGGCUUAUUGAGCCUCAGAUGUGUUUUGCACAUAAAACAUGACACCACUGAACGGGGAGGGUAUUAAUGCUACCACUGAGAUGAUGCACUAAAUUAUUGGUUGGUUAACAUCAUUUUAUUUACCACAAACUGGGGGCAGACUUUGCAGUGUUGGGAAAUUCAAGACCCCAGAAUAACUACAUGGUGGGAUAGUGUCACGGGAUAUGUGAAACAUUUUCUUUCUGGAAAAGACAGGCUGAGCUGCUGGUACGAUAGCUGAGCCUUUGCUCAAUCCUGGCACCUGUAUUGUAGGUAGGAUUAAAUUUCUGCUUCCUAACAGCAGAAAAUCAGGUCCAUACGUUUCUAUUUGGACAGUACAAUUAACAAAAAAAAUAACUCCAUUAGCAGGUUGUUCCGGAAACCAGGCGCUGGGCUGCAAUUAACAGCACACAGAUUACCUUCGUGUGGAAAUCAACACGUGCCAACAGUAGCCGGUGUUCCUCUGAUUUUGGGAUAAAGAAAAGGGAUUUUUUGAUCCAGAGGUACUAUACGCGAUUUGUUGUAUUUUUCUUCCUCCUCCUGAUCCUUUUCUCACAGUUCUGUUCAGGUCUCUCCUCUAAUGCAGAAUGUCCCCCUCCCCAAAACACGAGAGCCCUGCAAACCUGCCAGCUGUGGCCGAGGAGGAUCAGAGAUCCUUAUUUUUGAAAAGGAAAAUAUGGCUGUUACCAUCUCAACUUCCCCCAGAGAAAGACGUGGGGAUUCAGAUUAAACCCCAUCUUUCCAGAAUUCACCCGUCAGUCUUCUGGUUUAGAAGCCCAUGAAUUACGGUGCUAAACAAAAAAGAUUGUUCUUUUCAGAGAAGCGGCAAUUGCCAAAAUGUCCACGUAGAAAAUGAGAAUAACAGUUUUAAUUGAGGCAUGUUUUUUUGUUUUAACGUACUCUCCGCUUCUUUGACUAGAAAAUGGCUACAUUACCUGGAAAAAUAUUUUUGUAUUGUGCUGCUUGAGGGGAAAGGAGCUAAUUAAAUUUGUAAAAGUGGAAAA
Calidris pugnax (ruff) is the source of this 1565-nucleotide long non-coding RNA. RefSeq lists it as uncharacterized. The record is from RefSeq and is a predicted model, not a curated record. The transcript has 3 exons. Lineage: Eukaryota; Metazoa; Chordata; Aves; Charadriiformes; Scolopacidae.